GGACAUUAUUGCAGGAUGGGUUCCACAUCUGAGAAACGUUGUUUCAAAUUGACUUCAUGCAAAGCAAACUCUACAAGUCAAAAUAUUCAUGCAUAUGGAAUAAUGCUCAUGGCCGCUUUGACUACAGUGUUACUCAUUAUUUACAACUGCUCUGAUCAAGUUAUCACCACUCGAGAGAGGAGACUGGCCAAAUCUAGGGAAGCAGGGGCAAGAAGUGCAAGGGAAACAGCAAGAGCACGUCAAAGGUGGAAAGUUGCAAAAGAUGCUGCUAAGAAACAUGCAAGUGGAUUGCAAACUCAUCUCUCACGGACUUUUUCUCGUAAAAAAUAUGGAAAAUAUCCUGAACAAUUUAAGAUUUUGAAUCAAGAUAAAUCUGAGAUGGAAGUUGAUUUAUAUCCGCCUUCACACUCGAGUAAUUUUUCUAUUUCUACAUCUCUG
Molecule: unclassified non-coding RNA, 438 nt
Filed under: Hevea brasiliensis (rubber tree)
Lineage: Eukaryota; Viridiplantae; Streptophyta; Magnoliopsida; Malpighiales; Euphorbiaceae
Source: RNAcentral